CUAGUGCACAUUUUGGCUGAAAACCAUGAAAGGCCCAGAUGAUACUUUGGUAAAACUUGGUUGGAAUUGGACUCAGUUGAUUGUUUUCCUCUUUACUUCCACUACAAGGAACUGGAUUUCACAUGUCAACAAUUCAAAUUUCAAUUGCUAAUAUGAACCAAAUGGCUUUUCUAUGGAGAAAAUGGGGGCAGCAGCAAGUCCAACUCUAACUUUGAAUCUGGAGCUUCGUUUUCUUCCUUUUUGUCGCCAGGAGACAACCGUUUCCUAUUCAGUCUUUAUCUAUUGUACACCAUCGAGAGAGGCAUCUAGGGGAGAGCUUCCUUACGGGGUAAGCAAGCAAAGCGCUAUUCCCGAGCAACCCUAUCAUAUACGCAUAAACAAUGCCGUCUCGACUUCAGCGCGACACGUGGCGGUCCUCGACAUGCAAGAAUCAUCGAGGCUGAGGCACGUUUAGCGAGCUGAUAUGGCAAGAAAAGUGGAAAAAAGAGAGGAAAGUGCUGUGGAAGAUGAGGCUCGGAUAGGAGCAAAAGGGAAAGCAGUUUGGUCAUCGAGUUGGAUGAUGAAUGGCCUAGCUUUUCUGAAUGGUAGGUUUGAAGAACAGCAGGUGAGUGUGAAAUGGGAAUUUUAAUAGAGUGGUUUCUCUGUUCAUUUGGGUAGCUCUAGCUACAAGAGGCUUCUAGCAAAUGCCCAACGACCUCUUUAUAAACCCCUCAAGACCUUCUUCCUUGCUUCCCACUACUUCUGCAACAUAAAGAGGAUUUGAGAGGAGAUCAGUCUAAAUUUUUUCUGUAGUUAAGAGUUGUGGUUAGGAAGUGUAGAGGGAGAGAGAGAGGAGGGAAGCUUAUGGGACCAGGAGGACCAGGAGGACCGGGAGGGCCGGGAGGACCUGGCGGUUGGGGACCUCCCCCACCAGGGGGCCCGCCUGGUUUCUUUGGCGGCUUCGGCAACGUUAUAGGUUCUUGCUUGAGUUUUCUAUGCUGCUGCUGGUUGCUGCAAGAUUGCUUUGGCGGUCCUCCCGGACCGCCCGGGCCGCCGGGACCUCCUGGGUUCGGACCGCCUCCUCCUUAAAAAGUCAUCGCCGGCUCAUUCGUUAGGAUACCAUAUCUAAAUGCGGGUGUUUGGUCUAUGUUUCCGUUUCAUCUUUAUGUUCCUGUAAUAAGUUUUUCCAUUUUUCUCUCGUGGGAAACCAGCGAGAAAAGACAGAUCAGUGUGGCUAUUCUUUCUGUGUUAUAAUGAGAUUUCUAUACCCGCUACAACAUAUUCCAGUAACAAGUUUAAAACGCUUGCGGUUGCUGUAUGUC
This is a long non-coding RNA of Rhodamnia argentea, 1301 nucleotides long. RefSeq lists it as uncharacterized. The record is from RefSeq and is a predicted model, not a curated record. Lineage: Eukaryota; Viridiplantae; Streptophyta; Magnoliopsida; Myrtales; Myrtaceae. The transcript has 2 exons.